Molecule: ribosomal RNA, 446 nt
Filed under: uncultured Pseudoalteromonas sp.
Lineage: Bacteria; Pseudomonadati; Pseudomonadota; Gammaproteobacteria; Alteromonadales; Pseudoalteromonadaceae
Description: bacterial SSU rRNA
Rfam family: Bacterial small subunit ribosomal RNA
Source: RNAcentral
CGCACGAGCGCACCCCUAUCCUUAGUUGCUAGCAGGUAAUGCUGUAGAACUCUAAGGAAGACUGCCGGUGAUAAACCGGAGGAAGGUGGGGACGACGCUCAAGUCAUCAUGGCCCUUACGUGUAGGGCUACACACGUGCUACAAUGGCGCAUACAGAGUGCUGCGAACCUGCGAAGGUAANCGAAUCACUUAAAGUGCGUCGUAGUCCGGAUUGGAGUCUGCAACUCGACUCCAUGAAGUCGGAAUCGCUAGUAAUCGCGUAUCAGAAUGACGCGGUGAAUACGUUCCCGGGCCUUGUACACACCGCCCGUCACACCAUGGGAGUGGGUUGCUCCAGAAGUAGAUAGUCUAACCCUCGGGAGGACGUUUACCACGGAGUGAUUCAUGACUGGGGUGAAGUCGUAACAAGGUAGCCCUAGGGGAACCUGGGGCUGGAUCACCUCCUU